ACGCCAUUCCCCCUCUCCGCCUCCACGCCUCCCGAGCCCAACAAAACCCUAGCUCCGGCGCCGCCACCUCGCCGUCCGGCUCCUCCCGCCUCCAGCAGCAGCAGCAGCAAAUGGCCCGCCCCUCCGCCGCCGUCGUGAUCGCCGCCUUCGUGGCCUUGGCCGCGCUGGCCACCGCGGCCUCCGCCGCCGAUUUGGCGCCGGCCCCCGCCCCGACCUCCGGCGCCGGCGCCCUCUCGGCGCCGCUCUCCGCUGUCUGCCUGGCCGGGCUCCUCGCCGCCUUCCUCCGCCACUGAGCCGGCGGCGGCCGCCUCGCCCGCGUGCGCGUGUCUUCGUCGGAUCUAGUAGUACAGUGGUAGUGAGAGUCUUAUUAGUGGUAGUAGCAGUAUUGUAGUGGUUGUGAUAGUGCCAUGGAGGGAGAGGCAUUUGUUUUGGUGGUCCGCCGGGCGGAUGGAUCUGAGGGUUUCGUGUGGGGAUUUUGAGAGGUUUUUGAGGGUGGAUUUGAUUAGCGUGGUUGGUGUGAGUCUAUUCCUAUUAUUUAGUCGCGUCUUGUGUACCUAGUGCUCACUGGCUCUGAGAGUAUUAUUAUUAUUGUUAUGGAUUUAUGAUAUUAUUAUUAUUGUUAUAUUAUU
RNAcentral lists this long non-coding RNA (629 nucleotides) under Setaria viridis. RNAcentral describes it as "long non-coding RNA (SVIR_LNC005820)". Lineage: Eukaryota; Viridiplantae; Streptophyta; Magnoliopsida; Poales; Poaceae. The record is from RNAcentral.